CCUACGGGUGGCUGCAGUGGGGAAUAUUGGACAAUGGGGGGAACCCUGAUCCAGCCAUGCCGCGUGUGUGAAGAAGGCCCUCGGGUUGUAAAGCACUUUCAGUGAGGAAGAACGCCUGGUGGUUAAUACCCAUCAGGAAAGACAUCACUCACAGAAGGAGCACCGGCUAACUCCGUGCCAGCAGCCGCGGUAAUACGGAGGGUGCGAGCGUUAAUCGGAAUUACUGGGCGUAAAGCGCGCGUAGGUGGCUUGAUAAGCCGGUUGUGAAAGCCCCGGGCUCAACCUGGGAACGGCAUACGGAACUGUCAAGCUAGAGUGCAGGAGAGGAAGGUAGAAUUCCCGGUGUAGCGGUGAAAUGCGUAGAGAUCGGGAGGAAUACCAGUGGCGAAGGCGGCCUUCUGGACUGACACUGACACUGAGGUGCGAAAGCGUGGGUAGCAAACAGGAUUAGAUACCCUUGUAGUC
This 465-nucleotide ribosomal RNA is filed under the name Vreelandella stevensii. RNAcentral describes it as "partial 16S ribosomal RNA". It matches the Rfam family "Bacterial small subunit ribosomal RNA", at positions 338 to 795 of the family's 1533-position model. The record is from RNAcentral. Lineage: Bacteria; Pseudomonadati; Pseudomonadota; Gammaproteobacteria; Oceanospirillales; Halomonadaceae.